This 521-nucleotide ribosomal RNA is filed under the name uncultured Glomeraceae. Its description in RNAcentral is "SSU rRNA". It matches the Rfam family "Eukaryotic small subunit ribosomal RNA", at positions 569 to 1092 of the family's 1831-position model. The record is from RNAcentral. Lineage: Eukaryota; Fungi; Glomeromycota; Glomeromycetes; Glomerales; Glomeraceae.
AGCAGCCGCGGUAAUUCCAGCUCCAAUAGCGUAUAUUAAAGUUGUUGCAGUUAAAAAGCUCGUAGUUGAAUUUCGGGAUCAAUAUGUUGGUCGUGCCUUGGUACGUACUGGCAUUAUUGGUUCCUACCUUCUGAAGAACCUCGAUGUCAUUAAUUUGGUGUCUUGGGGAAUCAGGACUGUUACUUUGAAAAAAUUAGAGUGUUUAAAGCAGGCUCGCGCUUGAAUACAUUAGCAUGGAAUAAUGAAAUAGGACGUUUGAUUCUAUUUUGUUGGUUUCUAGGAUCGACGUAAUGAUUAAUAGGGAUAGUUGGGGGCAUUAGUAUUCAAUUGUCAGAGGUGAAAUUCUUGGAUUUAUUGAAGACUGACUACUGCGAAAGCAUUUGCCAAGGAUGUUUUCAUUAAUCAAGAACGAAAGUUAGGGGAUCGAAGACGAUCAGAUACCGUCGUAGUCUUAACCAUAAACUAUGCCGACUAGGGAUCGGAUGAUGUUAAUUUUUUAAUGACUCAUUUGGCGCCUUACG